GAUCAAAUCAAGCGCGAAAAGGGCGUUUGGUGAAUGCCUUGGCAGUAAGAGGCGA
RNAcentral lists this ribosomal RNA (55 nucleotides) under Sulfitobacter sp. HI0054. Its description in RNAcentral is "partial 23S ribosomal RNA". Lineage: Bacteria; Pseudomonadati; Pseudomonadota; Alphaproteobacteria; Rhodobacterales; Roseobacteraceae. The record is from RNAcentral.